RNAcentral lists this ribosomal RNA (1372 nucleotides) under uncultured bacterium. Its description in RNAcentral is "bacterial SSU rRNA". It matches the Rfam family "Bacterial small subunit ribosomal RNA", at positions 28 to 1381 of the family's 1533-position model. The record is from RNAcentral.
GAUGAACGCUGGCGGCGUGCCUAAUACAUGCAAGUCGAGCGAACGGACGAGAAGCUUGCUUCUCUGAUGUUAGCGGCGGACGGGUGAGUAACACGUGGAUAACCUACCUAUAAGACUGGGAUAACUUCGGGAAACCGGAGCUAAUACCGGAUAAUAUUUUGAACCGCAUGGUUCAAAAGUGAAAGACGGUCUUGCUGUCACUUAUAGAUGGAUCCGCGCUGCAUUAGCUAGUUGGUAAGGUAACGGCUUACCAAGGCAACGAUGCAUAGCCGACCUGAGAGGGUGAUCGGCCACACUGGAACUGAGACACGGUCCAGACUCCUACGGGAGGCAGCAGUAGGGAAUCUUCCGCAAUGGGCGAAAGCCUGACGGAGCAACGCCGCGUGAGUGAUGAAGGUCUUCGGAUCGUAAAACUCUGUUAUUAGGGAAGAACAUAUGUGUAAGUAACUGUGCACAUCUUGACGGUACCUAAUCAGAAAGCCACGGCUAACUACGUGCCAGCAGCCGCGGUAAUACGUAGGUGGCAAGCGUUAUCCGGAAUUAUUGGGCGUAAAGCGCGCGUAGGCGGUUUUUUAAGUCUGAUGUGAAAGCCCACGGCUCAACCGUGGAGGGUCAUUGGAAACUGGAAAACUUGAGUGCAGAAGAGGAAAGUGGAAUUCCAUGUGUAGCGGUGAAAUGCGCAGAGAUAUGGAGGAACACCAGUGGCGAAGGCGACUUUCUGGUCUGUAACUGACGCUGAUGUGCGAAAGCGUGGGGAUCAAACAGGAUUAGAUACCCUGGUAGUCCACGCCGUAAACGAUGAGUGCUAAGUGUUAGGGGGUUUCCGCCCCUUAGUGCUGCAGCUAACGCAUUAAGCACUCCGCCUGGGGAGUACGACCGCAAGGUUGAAACUCAAAGGAAUUGACGGGGACCCGCACAAGCGGUGGAGCAUGUGGUUUAAUUCGAAGCAACGCGAAGAACCUUACCAAAUCUUGACAUCCUUUGACAACUCUAGAGAUAGAAGUUUCCCCUUCGGGGGACAAAGUGACAGGUGGUGCAUGGUUGUCGUCAGCUCGUGUCGUGAGAUGUUGGGUUAAGUCCCGCAACGAGCGCAACCCUUAAGCUUAGUUGCCAUCAUUAAGUUGGGCACUCUAAGUUGACUGCCGGUGACAAACCGGAGGAAGGUGGGGAUGACGUCAAAUCAUCAUGCCCCUUAUGAUUUGGGCUACACACGUGCUACAAUGGACAAUACAAAGGGCAGCGAAACCGCGAGGUCAAGCAAAUCCCAUAAAGUUGUUCUCAGUUCGGAUUGUAGUCUGCAACUCGACUACAUGAAGCUGGAAUCGCUAGUAAUCGUAGAUCAGCAUGCUACGGUGAAUACGUUCCCGGGUCU